Molecule: ribosomal RNA, 510 nt
Filed under: uncultured bacterium
Lineage: Bacteria
Description: partial 16S ribosomal RNA
Rfam family: Bacterial small subunit ribosomal RNA
Source: RNAcentral
GACGAACGCUGGCGGCGUGCUUAACACAUGCAAGUCGAACGAAGAGCGAUGGAAGCUUGCUUCUAUCAAUCUUAGUGGCGAACGGGUGAGUAACGCGUAAUCAACCUUCCCUUCAGAGGGGGACAACAGUUGGAAACGACUGCUAAUACCGCAUACGAUCUAAUCUCGGCAUCGAGGAUAGAUGAAAGGUGGCCUCUACAUGUAAGCUAUCACUGGAGGCGGGUAUUGCGUCUGAUUAGCUAGUGGGCGGGGUAACGGCCGACCAAGGCGAUGAUCAGUAGGCGGUCUGAGAGGAUGAACGGCCACAUUGGGAGUGAGACACGGCCCAGACUCCCACGGGAGGCAGCAGUGGGGAAGCUUCCGCAAUGGACGAAAGUCUGACUGAGCAACGCCGCGUGAGUGAGGAAGGCCUUCGGGUUGUAAAGCUCUGUUAAUCGGGACGAAAGGCCUUCUUGCGAAUAGUGAGAAGGAUUGACGGUACCGGAAUAGAAAGCCACGGCUAACUACGUG